GGGGGGUUAGCUCAUAGGCUAGAGCGGUUAUAUGACAUGUAAUAGGUAGUUGGUUCGAAUCCAACACUCCCUA
This 73-nucleotide transfer RNA is filed under the name Candidatus Organicella extenuata. Its description in RNAcentral is "tRNA-Val". It matches the Rfam family "tRNA". Rfam says of the family: Transfer RNA (tRNA) molecules are approximately 80 nucleotides in length. Their secondary structure includes four short double-helical elements and three loops (D, anti-codon, and T loops). The record is from RNAcentral. Lineage: Bacteria; Pseudomonadati; Verrucomicrobiota.